Molecule: ribosomal RNA, 678 nt
Filed under: uncultured Bacteroidota bacterium
Lineage: Bacteria; Pseudomonadati; Bacteroidota
Description: bacterial SSU rRNA
Rfam family: Bacterial small subunit ribosomal RNA
Source: RNAcentral
GCUGACGACCGGCGCACGGGUGCGUAACGCGUAUGCAAUCUACCUUUUACAGGGGGAUAGCCCAGAGAAAUUUGGAUUAAUACCUCAUAGUAUAUGGCCUUGGCAUCAAGGCCAUAUUAAAGAUUUACCGGUAAAAGAUGAGCAUGCGUUCUAUUAGCUGGAUGGUAAGGUAACGGCUUACCAUGGCGACGAUAGAUAGGGGCCCUGAGAGGGGGAUCCCCCACACUGGUACUGAGACACGGACCAGACUCCUACGGGAGGCAGCAGUGAGGAAUAUUGGACAAUGGGCGGGAGCCUGAUCCAGCCAUGCCGCGUGCAGGAAGACUGCCCUAUGGGUUGUAAACUGCUUUUGUACAGGAAGAAACACUCCCUCGUGAGGGAGCUUGACGGUACUGUAAGAAUAAGGAUCGGCUAACUCCGUGCCAGCAGCCGCGGUAAUACGGAGGAUCCAAGCGUUAUCCGGAAUCAUUGGGUUUAAAGGGUCCGUAGGUGGAUGAUUAAGUCAGAGGUGAAAUCCUGCAGCUCAACUGUAGAAUUGCCUUUGAUACUGGUUGUCUUGAAUUAUUGUGAAGUAGUUAGAAUAUGUGGUGUAGCGGUGAAAUGCAUAGAUAUCACAUAGAAUACCGAUUGCGAAGGCAGAUUACUAACAAUACAUUGACACUGAUGGACGAAAGCGUG